RNAcentral lists this ribosomal RNA (439 nucleotides) under uncultured bacterium. RNAcentral's name for it is "partial 16S ribosomal RNA". It matches the Rfam family "Bacterial small subunit ribosomal RNA", at positions 339 to 795 of the family's 1533-position model. The record is from RNAcentral.
CUACGGGGGGCACCAGUGAGGAAUAUUGGACAAUGGGGGAAACCCUGAUCCAGCAAUGCCGCGUGAAUGAAGAAGGCCUUCGGGUUGUAAAGUUCUUUCACUCGUGACGAUGAUGACGGUAGCGAGAGAAGAAGCUCCGGCUAACUCUGUGCCAGCAGCCGCGGUAAGACAGAGGGAGCUAGCGUUGUUCGGAAUUACUGGGCGUAAAGGGUGCGUAGGCGGUUGUCUAAGUAGAGUGUUAAAGCCCUGGGCUCAACCCAGGAAUUGCGCUCUAAACUGGACGGCUAGAGUAUGAUAGAGGAAAGCGGAAUUCCUAGUGUAGAGGUGAAAUUCGUAGAUAUUAGGAGGAACACCAGAGGCGAAGGCGGCUUUCUGGGUCAUAACUGACGCUGAGGCACGAAAGCGUGGGGAGCAAACAGGAUUAGAUACCCCAGUAGUC